GAUGAACGCUGGCGGCGUGCUUAACACAUGCAAGUCGAACGAAGCACUUUACUACGAUUUCUUCGGAAUGACGGUUUUGUGACUGAGUGGCGGACGGGUGAGUAACGCGUGGAUAACCUGCCUCAUACAGGGGGAUAACAGCCGGAAACGGCUGCUAAUACCGCAUAAGCGCACAGGGUCGCAUGACCUGGUGUGAAAAAACUCCGGUGGUAUGAGAUGGACCCGCGUUGGAUUAGCUAGGUUGGUGAGGUAACGGCCACCAAGCGACGAUCCAUAGCCGACCUGAGAGGGUGACCGGCCAC
This 302-nucleotide ribosomal RNA is filed under the name uncultured bacterium. Its description in RNAcentral is "bacterial SSU rRNA". It matches the Rfam family "Bacterial small subunit ribosomal RNA", at positions 28 to 311 of the family's 1533-position model. The record is from RNAcentral.